Mya arenaria is the source of this 1725-nucleotide long non-coding RNA. RefSeq lists it as uncharacterized. NCBI's taxonomy places the organism in Eukaryota, Metazoa, Mollusca, Bivalvia, Myida, Myidae. The transcript is spliced from 3 exons. The record is from RefSeq and is a predicted model, not a curated record.
AAUGGUUGUAUUUGACCUUUUUGUUUAAUGUUUUUAAAAAUUAUUUCACUACUACUUGCGUCUCGCUGCUGUAAGCUCCCUUUGUUUCAGGUUGUUCAUGACCUAUUUUUUCGCAGAUAAUCAUUUACAUGAUUUAGGUCAAUAGGCUAACGCGAGUUUAUUGACUUUAAUAAAAAAAAAAUGGCAGAAUUUAUGGUAUAAAACAGGGGAAAGAAACUGAUGAUGCAGUUCAAAUGGCGAACAUCGCCAUCCAAUGCUGAGACAAUGGAAGACGUGGCGGACACUGUCAGAAAGUCAUCCCAUGGUGGUUACAAUAUCCCACAGCUUGUUGAAGUCAAAGCCUAGUCGGUGAUCUUCUACAAUUGGACUUCUUAAAGAACAUUUUUGAGCCAAUUCCAGGACUGACUAAGUACCAUCAUAUUAGGAUCACUAGUAGCCAUCAAGGGACAGUGUGGGAGUAUGUCGACAACCCAGAGGUUGCCAUAGAUAUCGCCUGGUCUCAAAGCAAGGCUGCAUCCAAUAGUGAAAUGCCAGUGAGAAUUGAAAUCUGGGACCUUGGUUCAAAAAGGUAUCGAUACCUAUUAGGGAUCACUCCUCUUUGCAAUAACAUUUCAUCAUGUUCCAAGUCAACAGUUCCCAAAACAUCUAGUGGUGUUAGAAAUAGUGUACUGACAUAUUUACACGUCUAUUCCACCGAUAAACCAAUAGAGUCAUUAAAUUGGCACAAAUUGCUGUUUUGAUGUGAUAAAAUUUAGAAUUUUCAGAAAUUUUGGCAAAACGUAUCAAGGUUGUUUCAAGCAAAGGUUCAAUAUUGGCAGAAUUUGUCAACAUUAACGAAACGAACAUGGUUGUUUUAGGUUUGUUAUUGUUGACAUUAACUUACUUUAGAACAAAGUUAUUACUGAAGGGAACGUCCAGAAUAUUAAUUCAGCUAAAAAAAAUGAAAUAGAAACAAAUGAAUUAUGCUGAAACAAACUUUGCCCUUUUUAACUUUACUUGAUAUGCAUGUAUACUUGUUAUGAUAUUUCGUUUGGAAAUGCCUUUCACCCGAAUAAUGCCUUGUUCCAGAUUUAAAGAUGAAAUGGUAUAUGAUCAAUCACAGUACAUAGUACAUGUUUUACAUGUUAGAAGUCUCCUUUAGUCCUUUAUUUACUAGUUUGUUGUUGAGAUGCAUGGAACACAGUUAUUACUUAAAUUUUAAAGAUACUGUUGCCAUGACAACCAUAUUUGUAUUAUAUUUUCACUAGACGGUUACAAUUAUAACUUCUCAUUUUCAGUUUAAUAUAGUUACAUCUCAUUGGAGUGAAAGUUUGCCUUUUACCAAAAAUAUGCACUGUUCCAACAUGUGUGUUUACAAUUAAAUGUUAAAUUAUCUAUUUUAUCAUUAUAAGUUUAUGUUUCACAUGUUUUGAGUCUUCUUCAUUCCUGUGUUAACUAGUAUAUUAUUUAGAUGCUUUGAAUAUUGUUGUUACUUGAGGGACAUGAACGUAUAUUAUAAGUAAUAAAUGACUAAACUGAUUUUUUGAAAUAAAAUAACAACAGCGUUGUUUUCUGUGAAUAUUUGGAAAACCGUUCCCAUGGCAACCAUAUUUAUAUUGUCACCAGAGUGUAAAAUUUGUAAUACUUUUGAUGUAAAGGUUAAAGCAGUGUAGCAAUAGUUGAUCUACAUGUUAAAAUGUUAUGUUUUCUGUAUAUAUGUUGAUUCUCAUUAAAAGGUAAACAUUA